This 497-nucleotide ribosomal RNA is filed under the name uncultured bacterium. RNAcentral describes it as "partial 16S ribosomal RNA". It matches the Rfam family "Bacterial small subunit ribosomal RNA", at positions 28 to 507 of the family's 1533-position model. The record is from RNAcentral.
GAUGAACGCUGGCGGCGUGCCUAAUACAUGCAAGUCGAGCGAACGGACGAGAAGCUUGCUUCUCUGAUGUUAGCGGCGGACGGGUGAGUAACACGUGGAUAACCUACCUAUAAGACUGGGAUAAUUUCGGGAAACCGGAGCUAAUACCGGAUGAUAUUUUGAACCGCAUGGUUCAAAAGUGAAAGACGGUCUUGCUGUCACUUAUAGAUGGAUCCGCGCUGCAUUAGCUAGUUGGUAAGGUAACGGCUUACCAAGGCAACGAUGCAUAGCCGACCUGAGAAGGUGAUCGGCCACACUGGAACUGAGACACGGUCCAGACUCCUACGGGAGGCAGCAGUAGGGAAUCUUCCGCAAUGGGCGAAAGCCUGACGGAGCAACGCCGCGUGAGUGAUGAAGGUCUUCGGAUCGUAAAACUCUGUUAUUAGGGAAGAACAUAUGUGUAAGUAACUGUGCACAUCUUGACGGUACCUAAUCAGAAAGCCACGGCUAACUACGUG